Molecule: long non-coding RNA, 133 nt
Organism: Nicotiana tabacum (common tobacco)
Lineage: Eukaryota; Viridiplantae; Streptophyta; Magnoliopsida; Solanales; Solanaceae
Source: RefSeq, a predicted model, not a curated record
AUUUAAUCUUUUCUCUUUAAAAAAGAAGAAGAGGAGGUGUGACCUUUUGAUAGAAGGAUGUCAAGUUAAGAAUUAAGGAAUGAGUUUGGAUGGAAGUUGGCAAAAAUAUGAUGGUUUGAUGCAAAAAAAAAAA